UCUCCGUAGGUGAACCUGCGGAGGGAUCAUUACCGAGCUCAUGCCCUUACGGGUAGAUCUCCCACCCUGUGUUAUUAUUACCUUUGUUGCUUUGGCGGGCCGCCAGGCUCCGGUCAGGCUAUCGGCUUCGGCUGGUAAGCGCCCGCCAGAGGACCCUAUAUCCUGAUUAUUAGUGUCGUCUGAGUACUAUAUAAUAGUUAAAACUUUCAACAACGGAUCUUUUGGUUCUG
Molecule: unclassified non-coding RNA, 230 nt
Filed under: plant metagenome
Description: partial contains small subunit ribosomal RNA, internal transcribed spacer 1, and 5.8S ribosomal RNA
Source: RNAcentral